CUUCACCAUGCAAUUGCAUCCCGAAAAUUGCAUGCGUGCACCAGAGGCUGCAUGCACGCCUGCUUGCAUAUUUUGCAAAGCGACCGAACAUCUCUGGCUGGGUUCAAUGUUUUUGGAAGGCUGCUUCUUCUGUUGAAUAAGAUCACACACGCUUCAGCAGCUGCUGUGGAGCUGUUCCAGUCGAUCAGGUGAGCCUACAGUUAGGACAGUGCUCUGAAACUUGCACUGAAUGCAGGUAUGUCUCAGCCCUUCCCAUUUGAUUAACAUGCAUCAAGCUGUCCUUUUAGUGAGUUGAGUAAACUGUUAAUGUACUGUUAUAUACUAUAUAUAUCUCAAUAUCAAAAAAAAUAUUCUGCCAGUUUAGCUGGGGGGAGAAUCAUAGCCUUAUCCAGCAUAGUCUUGUUGCCAGUUCCUCAUGGAAGCACAAUUUAUGUGGCCAAAAGGAGCCUUUUUCUAGCAGAGUUCAUGUUCUGGGAAAUGACGCUUCUCGAGAGAAAAUAUUGCAAUGGAAAAAUGCCUGUGGUUGCCUUACAUGGCAUUUUUGCUAGGGUGCUGUGGUGGUAUAACUAUACAGGCAAAGUUGCUCUGGUAUGGACUACCCGUCCCCCCACAAUGCCUCAAGUAACCUUUCUUUAGCAGAUAUCAGCCUUGGGGAAGCAUAUCUUAUUUGAUGUUCUUCAAGUUAGAAACUUGAUCGUUCAGGUUGUGCCUUGCCUUGUCCACCCCAAUGAUCCAUUGCAUAAAUGUCUUUACAGAGUCCCACAGAUGGAUGUACAUCUUCCCUGGUGUAACGUGGUACGAUGGAUUUGGUCCACAAUUAACAGGUCUCUGCGUGUGAGCCGUGUGUGAUCUAGGAGACAGUAUGGGUACACUGCCAAAUAAAUGAGAUGGGCUCAGAUCUGUUCUCAUUUUCCUUUAAGUUUGCAAGUUUGUUUGAAGCAGGAACAAGUCUUUUGCUCUGCUUUGAAUGGCAUCUUUGCUUACUGGGGUCUUGGUCAAUUGAUUAGAGUGUCUAGGCUUUCCAAUAUAGAAAUCAUUAAUGCUCAAUCUGAAGUCUUAUUUUUUUGUUGUUCUAGGAAGAUCAAGGUUUAUCCAGAGUCUGAAAUGGAAGAAGCAGCUUAAGAUGCACCAGACGAGUAACAGAAAAUCCUGUCCCAAAUGGAGGAGUUGCACCCAAGGCCCAUGAAGGGGAGUAGCUAAAAUGCUAUGUAGUCAAGCCAACCAGUGAUGGGUGCAUGGUAAUACAAGGAAGGAUGGGGGUGGUAUUUUGGGGUCAGGAACACCAAAUCUGAGCACAUUACAGUUAAAGUAGCCUUUAUGUGAAGCAUUAAAAAAAAUUAAAUAAAAAGCCCCAUAUUCAAACGUUUGCAGGUAAUGGAUUUGUAAAUUAUUUUAUAAAUUUUCUGCUUUUCUCUGUUGUAGAAGAAUUUAAAUAAAUAGUUCAUGUCAUGAAGAUUUGGGGGCCAAGUGCAUAUUCUCGACUUGCAGUGAAAACUGUGGUGGAACUUCUGUGUACUCCAGCAAAAUAGUGAUACCUUGAGGUCUAAGACUUCUGUGGAAGUAGUUCAUAAAGAACAUAUAUCUGUAAUUAUGAGCAGUGCUACUAGUUGUCACUCGAAUCUGGUUUUCUCCAAUGCAUUGGAAAAUAUAUAUUAUAGCAAACUUCUGUACCACAACCUCAGACUUUCUCAAAUGUGCCUCCAGUGAUUUAGAUCAUAUUAUACAGUAGGCACUUGGCAAAAGUUUUUUAUGCCAUUUUUAGUUAUAAAGGCAAAAAUAAAAAGGAUACAGUAACCCUCAAUUAGGUGUAUACUUUUAUAACUUCAUAAUGUUCAGAGUGUUUGGGGGGGAAAAAUGGCUGAAAAUAUGCCAUUAUAUUGCCAGAUUUCAGUGUAGAGCAUGUCUUUAUUAACCAAGCAAUACCUCCUUGAAAUGAGGGGUUUAUUAUGGAAAGGCUGACAGACCCUUAAUUACCACAUCAUGAACGGCAGUUACAAUAGCCCAUAAGCUAAAUAGUGGUAUGCACAGUCCUUAAGAUAAAUAGUGGCAUGCACAGUCCUUUAGCCUUGCUUGGCAGAGUUGGGCAGCCUUAGCUGGUUUGAAGGUCUAUGAUGUGUUGGUAUUUUUCUCCUCGUCUGUUCCAGUCUGCUUUUAAACUUCUGUUAAAUGUUAGUGAUCACAUUUUGGGGCUGGGGCUGUAGUUUUUGGUUUGCCCAUUUUCGCUUUUGGAGUCCCUUUUGGAGUCUCAUUUGUCUAUCAUGCCAGAUUGAGAGGGCUAAGGUGGGCAUGUCUACGUGGCAUUGGACAGAGCUAGAGCACAGCACUGAAAAUACCUUCCUGCCCAUUCACCCCUGCUCCAUACCUGUCAGUAAAGUUUAUGGCUUAUGCCCAGGGCCUCAGACUUGGAGGUCUAAGGUUGAGCCAAGUUCCACUCUAAUGGCAGCAAUACGAUCUCUUUUUUGGAACGCAGCAUGCAAUGCAGCGCAAGCAAAUGGGCAAUUUUCGGAGCAGCACUGUCUGACCUAGUGCAGACGUACCCUUAUUGAUCUAAUAUAUCUUUUCUACGUAAAGUGGAGUUGUCUCUUCAUUACAGGAUUAUGAAUGCAUUCUGCUUGUGCACAAGAGGUGGUGCAUUGCAUAUGUUGAUGGAAAGAUGCCAACAGAAUAUAGAAACAAUCUUAUUCUGUUGAAAUGUAUAUGUUUCAUGCCUUGAUAGUUUUUCAAGGUGGUCCAAUUAAGGUAAAUGCUCCUGGCAUCUUUUCCAUUAAUACUUGUCUUCACCACCAUCCAUCACCCUAAUUCUUCUUCAGCUGGUUAUCUAAGAGCUUCUGCCCAUCUGGACCCCGAAGCAUGAAGAUAGCAAGCAACUUCCCAACAUCUCCAAGGGAAAUGUAGAGCUCUUGCUAUCCAGUCCUCUGCUGAAACUUCAGGUAAGCAUGCAUCAUUGUUGCCUACGCUGGUUGUGGGAAAUGUAGAGCUCUUUCCAUCCAGUCCUGUACCAAAACUGCAGGUAAGCAUAUGUCAUUGGCACAACCAAUGUAGGGAACAUGGAGGUAUUUUUGUUUAAAUGUAGCAUAUAGUUAAGUCUUGUGAUCAAGAUUAUUGUUUGUAAAGCACAUGAAAAAAAAGUCACGUUAAUGCUGGAGAUGAACGAUGGAAACUGAAAAUUAAAAUGGGUUGUAGGGGAGCAUGGAAGGAAAGAAGGCCCAAGAAAAUGAGAGAAACGUUGAGUUUGUGGUUAACACAUAGGACUGAGUCAGGAGAUCUGCUUUCAACUUCUGGUUUUGCUAUAGAUUUUGUGGGUAAAUACUGCAGAGAAACACCAUGAAUGUUUCUAUUCUAGCCCCGUGUGUUUUGACAGUUUUGUUUUUUGCCUUCAGAUUGCUUUCCGCAGUUACUCUAAUAAACGUGCUUGCUGGAAGGAGUGUUUUGCUGAAAUUGCAAAAUUUUCAGCAAUAUUGCCUUAAAACAGAUCAUCAGAUUUUAUAAACUGGAGUGUGUAUUUUGGCAACUUGAUUUGUUUUGGUUCUUUAGAUCAACCUGAUCACGCAAUUGCAGACCAUAUGACCUGUUUGUCCAGUCAAAGACACAGCAGGAAUCUUCGGUCUUGAAGAUUUGCUAACAAUUGCUUGUGAAAUAAUAUGCAGGCCAAGGAUGAUUGAUUGUUUCCAGAAAUCUGAGUUCUGUAUAAAAAUGGAAACAAGCACCGUUUUGUUGAAUUAUUCCCCUUUUUUCAUGUGUUUUUUUGCAUAAGCCACUUCACCUGUGUUAGUUUCGGUAUCUAAAUGGGGAGGAUAGUAUUUCCCUAGUUUACCCCUUGAAGUGAUGGUCAGACUUUAUUUUUUUUUUAACUAAUCAUUAUAAAAUGUUUUGAUGUUCUUGGACAUUUUUAGCAUUUAAUGCCCAAAGUUGUAAGUGUGGCUUUUUUAUUAUGAUGCAGAGAAGGGAAGCAGGCUUGGUAUCUGGAACACGGGUAUGAGUGAGAGAUGCGUGAUCAGGUAUAAAGGGAAUGUCUUGUAGUGUAAAGAGCAGCCUUAACUGCUAGCACUGUAAAAAGACUAUUUAAAGCCAGUGUGGAUUUUGGAUGACAGCUAUAUGCAGGGAGAACAAGGGUCAUGAUGCCUAGGAUGUGGAUUCUUCCAAAAACAAUAGACAUUGGAAAUGAAGAAGUCAAGCUGAGUGAAGGUACUCUGUUUGCUAACUUCCAUGGAGCAGGAAGAUGGGACAAGGGCCAACAGUACCUUUAAAGAAGUGGCCAAGGGUUAUUUCUGUUUUUUUUUAAUUUCCAUUUUGCAUUGUUACUGACACAUAGCACUUCCCGCCAUCAUCACACUUUUUCCUAGAAAUUAAAACUACGUAAGAAGGGGAGAGGUACAAACAUAACAUAUUCUAGCAUAUAAAACCACUGUGUUUGAGUUUCAAGUUGGACCUUAAAGACUGCAAACAAAAGAGGGGUGUUUUUUUUUCCUUACAAGUGAUUCUUUUACAAACACAGCAGUUAUCAAAGUGUGAAAGAUUCCUCAGUAAGGGGCACACAUAGCAAGGCCAUUUAACUGCUCCCUACAGUCUCUGCUUUUUAUUUCAUUCCUUUUAAAGUCUCUUACUGCUGUGAAGGAAUCAUGUCAACAUUACCCGAUCCAGUGACCUCUGCCAAAGUCUGCAGAGAGCCUGAAACAAUAGCUUUGAGGUGUGCACUGCUCCUUCACUUUGUGCUAUUAACGAUGCUAUGUUGAACUGUCAGCAUCAUUAGCAGUUUCCACGCCGAUUGAAAGGAAACGGUAAAAGCGUCAUUCUGAUAGGCUAUGCCAAUGGUGGCCAACAAUUUUUUGGCAAGCUUGUCAUAAAUUAAGUCCAAAGUAGGAGAUGGGAGUGGCACUGUUGCCAGUAUGCUUGCUGUACAGUAGAGGUGACAGAUCUUGACCAAACCUGAACUUUGGGAGCUUAUCAGAGGAAAAAGCCACCUGUUAUUUUACUAAGUGGUGCAGAAAGGGUGUGGCAACCCUGGGUUUGGCAUCAUCUACUCCCACCAUUUCUGUGAAGCUAAUCCAUCAAGCCAGGACCCCAACCCUAUCCCCUCCUUGAGUGUUGCCCCAAAUCCUGUCAUUGGUACCCCUUUAACUUAGUGCCUUAGGCUCCUGUGCCAGCUGCACCAAUUAGCUAUGCCACUUGUGGCCUACGUGCUGAGGAUUGGCCACUGUUGGGCUAUGCCGUCCACCUAAUAAUUGCUUCCUAGGGACAGGUCUUUCUAUUCCUUCUUUUUUUUUUUAACAUUUUUGUCAUGAGGAGGUAGCUAAAUUCAGCUUUGUUUUCCUUAAGGUGGGCACUCUACUUACUACUUUCACAGGCCACUUCCAGACUAGAAAUAUCAGUAUAAGCAUAGCGACAUGUUAGACCUGUAAAGAACUCCUCGUGGGAGUUGCUCUUCUCCCAGUAGAGUGAAUUUGAGCCCCCACACUGAGCAAAAUGAAUUCUCCUGGUAAAAAUACAGGUCGUCUGGAUCUACAUAAAAGAUUUCUGCUGCUACGGCUGUGAUGGCCUGGGUUGUACUGAGUCACAGCCCUCUCAUCACCCAUCUAGCGAAAGAGCAGUAUGACAUGAGCAGCCACUUCUCUCUCUCGCUCCCCUUCCCUUAAGACUAUUGAAUAGGUAAGAUACUUGAGGCAUGGAUUUUUGUGGAUGAAAUCCUUUUAUUGAACCACCUGCAUAGCUGGGAUAGAUUCAGACAAGAUUUUGAAUACAAAGCAUUCUUCUGCAGGUCACUGGUGAUGCUUAGCUAAGGUGCUCUUGACGUGUUUUAUAGAUGUACCGCACUUUUACCUCCUUACCUUCUUUUUGUCUGCCUCUAUUGUACAACUAGAGCAUUUGCGAAAUAAAUAAUGCCCCUGACCCAGCUCUGCUGAUGGAAGUGUGUAGUAAACACACACAAAAAUAGCAGUGCUUGUGCAGUGGGGGGCAAAGGUUGGACAAAGAGGUGUUCGCUGCGGUAGAAGACGAGGAAACUGUUGAAUAUUUGUUAAAAACAAAUGGACCAUCUGGAGGAAAGGAUGCCACAAGAGCGUCUGCUCUGGCUUUCCAUCAAGCUCUGUCCUCAGCAAUAAGUGGGUGAGCAAGCGACAGAGCAGGAUGCUUGCCUUACAAUAGAGGAGGUGACAGACAAUGAACAAUCCCGAGCAUUGGUGGCUUAUAGGAGGGGGAAAAAAACCCCAUCUGCUCUUUUGCUGUUCUGAGCAGGGCAGAAAGGAUAUCGCACGUUCCUUUGUUCUCCACUGAAGGUAAUGGUGGACUACAGGCCCUCUUGCACUUCGCAAGCCAAAAAAAGUGAAGUUCAUAAGAGCUUAGCAGCCAGAUCUUAAAAUUCAUUUUAGUUUCCACUCUCUGUCUGUCUUGCUCCUAUGCAUUUCCUCUAGCAGCCAUUAGAAUUUAAUACACAUUUCCCCUUAGUGUCUUCUGGUAGUUUGAUCGUAUGAGAAAAUGUUUAGAUAGCUUCAAUUUUCUUUGCUUUUUCCCCCUGCCCUAACAAACUACACUAACCCUGUGAAUCUGGGACUGGAGAGCUGCUAAAAAAUCUCUUUGUGGCUUUUAAGCAGAUGGCCAAGGAAUUCUUACAGAGGAUAAAAUGACCUAUAAAAUCUGAAAGUAGAUGCAGCUUGUAAAAGUGACAGAAGCCCAGUAAAGGAAGCCCAUUCACAACUUGAGUAACCUAGGUAAUGGUACAAUUUAGGGCUGGAAAAAAUUGGCUGAUAAGAAUAAAGAGCUGAGUGCUUGGUAAGGAGAGGGGUUAAAGGAGACAAUCAUCUCAUCUCAAACAAGUGGACUAAGGGCUGUGCCGCUAGCAUGAAUACAUCCAUUUUAUCUUAAUUUGCCAAGAGACACAGAGCACAAGGUCACCUCGGGAUGUAAGAGGCCCAAAGGAUUUAUUGGAAAGUUUGGAAAAUGCUGCUCAGGCAAAUAAACCAAAGGAGUUCAUGAAAUUAGAAAUCUUGAAUUUAUUCUUAAGUGGUGUGUUUUAGAGGGUAAGUUAUCCUUUUUGUAAGUGAUGGAAAGAGCCAGUGUGAUGGAUACUUCAGUCUUUUUAACUGAAAAUCUAGUCUGCUUAAAAUGCAGCAACAACAAAAAACGUGUAGGUAUGGGAGGUGCACCCAAGUCACCGUUCCUAUGAAUGCGAGGCUUUCAUCCCAAUCUCACAUCUUUCUUGCGUGCUGUGCAGGCGUCACGCUCGCGGCACAGCACAGUGCUGUCGUGUGGGAGAUUCCAAAGUUCAAAGCUAGCACGUGCUCACUUUUUUUUCCUUCUCCAACUGUUUACAUGGAUUUCUCUGUGUUUAUGGUGCAGCUGUUAUAAUACCUCUCUGUCUCUCUCAUUUUCAGUUUACAUAUCUCUUGGUAUUGCUUCUAUAGAACUAUGAGUUCUCUGCUUUUAUUUGAUUAAGUAGUUUGGGAUUUAAGUCUUUCAUUCUUGCUCAACUUGUCCCUCGGUCUUUUUCCAGCCGUGAGCAGCGCACAUUUGGCUGGACUUGUGCUCUCUGUCCUUGGCUCUUGCAGCCACAGCCUUUUCAGGGGCUUGAUCUGGGUUUUCGUGACCUGCAAAGAUCUGUUGGCCUCUUCCAGAUUCUUUUGGAGUGACGGAUAAUUUCAGAGCUCUUAGAAAGGUAUAGGCUUGAGGGUAUUUGGCAGAGGUGAGCUGCAGCCCUAAUAUGUUGCUUUCCAUUUAGCAAGCAGGGUGUUUCACUGAUUAUUUUCAGUCUGGCACAGCUGACAGGAGUUGUGUCAAAACUGGACUAAACAAAUGUUCUUAAACUAGCAGUUACCUUUUGUGGCGUAUAGGGCUUUAAAUUCGUCACUGAAACUAGGGUCAUCUCGGCAGACCUUGUUAGCCUAAAUGCCUUUGUGGAUUAAGAUCUGCAGUACUUUCUGACAUCACGUGAGUAUCUGAUGCUGUGGGGUUAACAUCAUCCUUGGAAAGGAAAUAAAGACUGAUUUGGGCUGAAAGCUGAGCCUUGAAAUUAAUCCUGUCUUUAAUUUAAACUCCUCCAAAUGUAAGGAUGCUCAGUGACACAAAUAAUAAUUACUCUUUGGGUACAAACAUUGCCACCUUCCCCCUGGCAUUAUGAAACCCGAGCUGAUUGUUGGGAUUCUUGCAAAACAGACCCAGGUGAGAGUUUAUAAAUUAUUCCCUUCAGGGUCCUUUUAAGAUAAGAGCGCGUUUUGUUUUCAUUAAGACAACAUCAAUUGAGCAGCAUAUCAUUUAAGUGUGUUUGUCUCCUGCUACAGAGAUGAAGGCAAAUCAGAGAGAUGUUUCUCUCUAAUGCAGGAAAGACAGCAAUCCUGUGACACCGUUCUGUAGCAAUAAUUUGCUUGCUAUUAAUGACAAGAUGGAUUUGCAGCCUCUUUACUGAUGGAUGUUGGUACCAUAGUGUCACCAGCCUCUGCUAUCAUUCCUGAGAAGCAGCUUUCUGAUUGGCUUAUGCUUAUUUCCAGCUGUCAAGCUGGUUUAGCAGUGUGUUUGAUUUGUUCUUGGUCAUGGGUGGGGUUGGGGGCUUUUUUUCCCCAACUGUAUCAUUGCCCUUACACUAUUUUUACCCCUCACCUUCCAGUUGUGCCUCUCCGGUCUCUCUUUCACCAAUGGGAGCCUCUCUUUCCAGAUUGCCCCUAUGCAUGAAAUAAACUCCAAGGACUAAUUUUUGGAAAGCAUUCCCAUUCUAACCCCUUUCUCUCUCUCAGUGAUCCCUGCAAGAUGAGAUCUAGUUAGAAAUAAAUUAAGAGAAAUAUUUUAAAUGUAUUGCUUCUGCUGGAUUUCCCAGGAUACGUGGUCUAGAGUGUCUGUCUUCUAGACGCUCUGAACAGUUACAGUGAAGCCAUAAGCAAUAUACUUUUGGCAUUGUCCUAAACCAUAAUUGUUGCGAGUGACAAGUGUUUGCAGGGUUCAAGGUUGCAGUGAGCCCUGCAUAGAGAGACUUCUAGUCUCUGCUCAUUGCAAAGCCAGUCUGAGCUCUUCAGGGGAGGGAUGGUCUUUAUCACUGGGUUUCUAUGACGCCAAACACAUCUUGAGUGUUAAGUGGUUUAUUAAAUCUUUAUUAUGUUUAUGUUGCUGCCAGAGUAAUACGAUCUGGAAGCAAUUACUGGAGUCUUUUUUUGUUUUGUUUUUUUCUUUUUCAUUCUUUCUUUAUGAAUGUAAUCUAAAAGUUUGCCAAGCGCCGGGAUAAUACUGCAUACUCUUGUGUUAUAUAGUGCAAAUGUGAAUGAAUGACUUCAGUGGGACUUGCUUGACUUUAAACACAUGUUCCUCUUGAAGUGCCUAGCUGAAGAGAUGUAGUUAAGUAUGUGCAUGUAGUAUUUUGCUAGUUUAGGGCCUUCCCCUCAGUUUUCUCACUUGUAAAAUGGAUCUGUCCCUUCUGGGUCAAGUUUGGGGUCUAGCAGUCCUGACUCUUCCACUGCUUCCAUAUUGUAGAAUGACUUAACCCUGGAUAAAGUAAGUAUAUAGCUACCACUGCUGCAGAUGGGAUUCUUCAUUCGGUAGUAAUUUGCCUAGGUCAAAUCCACCUUAACAAAAUGCAACACAUUUGUUAGAGGACCAGGCCGAAAAUCUGGGAUGCUCUGGGAUUCUCAUAUAAGUAGUGUUAAAUAAAAGCUAAUGUCAUGCCUAUUUCCCCUUAGUGUCUUUUGGUAGUUUAGAAGUUACUUUUAUUUGUUUGACAGUAGGAGCUGGCUUUUUUUGUUUGUUUGUUUAAAACAGAAGUGUUUUUUAAUGUGUGUCAAUACUGAAGUCAGACGUUCCUAAAAGGAAAAAAAGGGAAUUCUUAGUCUUUACAGCAGGAUAUGUUGGGAGAGGAAGAAGACUCCAGCUACUCUUAUCUGGAACACACAGCUUCUGCUUGUCGUAGUUGAACUUUAGAAGAAACCAUGUGCACAUAAAAGAUUACAGGACAGCUCAGCCCUUUCUCUUCUGUAAAUUUGCCAAGUCUCAUUGAGGACUCUUCUGCUUACUGUUUUAACUUGUGGGCGGGGGACGCAAAAAAAUCCUGCCCCUUGAUAGUCUUGUGUGAAAAUGGAGAUGGAUGCGAAUUUUGCAUGAGAGAGAGAAUCCUGCCCUCAGGACCACAGAGAAGUUCAGACUCAAUAGGAUCUGUGCUACGUGGCAAAAGGAGCAGGUUUCCUAUUGAAGAGGGCAUAAGUUGCAUGAAAAGGGUUACCUUUCUGCAACUACUUCUGCUUCCAUGUCAAGAUCCACCUUGCUUUAUAUUCAGGUUUGUAAAUCAAGCCUCUGACAUCUAGUUGAGCAAAUAAUUUAGUACUGGCUGUUUUGCCAGCCCUGUUGUUCAUAAUGAUGUACUGGACCCCAUAGUGACUUGCACCUGAACAAAACCCAACAACAACAAAAAAGCCAGCAUAUUACUGUGAUUUUAUUCACCCUGGUAUGUGUUCUGUGGAAAUGCCAGGGGCAUGGUAAAUACUGUCCCUAAAUACAACUAGGGCACAAUGGGAUGCUUGGUUUUUAAUACUUUUGUUUGCCAUGCCACAGUUCCUAAUAAUGAUCCUCCAUUGAAAUAAAAGCAAAUGGACUUGA
Molecule: long non-coding RNA, 10563 nt
Organism: Alligator mississippiensis (American alligator)
Lineage: Eukaryota; Metazoa; Chordata; Crocodylia; Alligatoridae
Exons: 2
Source: RefSeq, a predicted model, not a curated record